AUGCUUGCUUCAGUAGCAUAUAUACUAAAAUUGGAAUGAUACAGAGAAGAUUAGCAUGGCUCCUUCACAAGGAUGA
Molecule: small nuclear RNA, 76 nt
Filed under: Microtus ochrogaster (prairie vole)
Lineage: Eukaryota; Metazoa; Chordata; Mammalia; Rodentia; Cricetidae
Source: RNAcentral